UACGGGGGGGGCAAGCGUUGUUCGGAAUUACUGGGCGUAAAGGGCUCGUAGGCGGCCAACUAAGUCGGAUGUGAAAUCCCCAGGCUUAACCUGGGAACUGCAUCCGAUACUGGAUGGCUUGAAUUCGGGAGAGGGAUGCAGAAUUCCAGGUGUAGCGGUGAAAUGCGUAGAUAUCUGGAGGAAUACCGGUGGCGAAGGCGGCAUCCUGGACCGAGAUUGACGCUGAGGCGCGAAAGCGUGGGGAGCAAACAGG
Molecule: ribosomal RNA, 253 nt
Filed under: uncultured bacterium
Lineage: Bacteria
Description: partial 16S ribosomal RNA
Rfam family: Bacterial small subunit ribosomal RNA
Source: RNAcentral